This 252-nucleotide ribosomal RNA is filed under the name uncultured bacterium. Its description in RNAcentral is "partial 16S ribosomal RNA". It matches the Rfam family "Bacterial small subunit ribosomal RNA", at positions 524 to 776 of the family's 1533-position model. The record is from RNAcentral.
UACGUAGGGCGCAAGCGUUGUCCGGAAUUAUUGGGCGUAAAGAGCUCGUAGGCGGCUUGUCACGUCGGAUGUGAAAGCCCGGGGCUUAACCCCGGGUCUGCAUUCGAUACGGGCUAGCUAGAGUGUGGUAGGGGAGAUCGAAUUCCUGGUGUAGCGGUGAAAUGCGCAGAUAUCAGGAGGAACACCGGUGGCGAAGGCGGAUCUCUGGGCCAUUACUGACGCUGAGGAGCGAAAGCGUGGGGAGCGAACAGG